Long non-coding RNA from Lolium perenne, 1147 nucleotides. RefSeq lists it as uncharacterized. The record is from RefSeq and is a predicted model, not a curated record. Lineage: Eukaryota; Viridiplantae; Streptophyta; Magnoliopsida; Poales; Poaceae.
AAAGAGCACUAAGCUCCCAGGGUUGCGGGCGCUCGUGGACGCUCUGCUCGUCCCUUUCGCGGGCCCCGCAGUUGUGGAUCGUAUUCCCUUUUGCCCCGAGGCCGCCGCCACGACCUUGAGCACACGCACACACCAUGUGACGCCGCCUCCAAACCCUCGCCCUGGCCCUCCGCCGCGCUGCAGCCGGAGCCACAGCGGCCUCCACCCCCGUCACCGCCCGAACCGCUCCCUUCUCCACGGCGCCCGCCGCCUUCCGCCGCACCACUACGCUCCUCUCAGGGGACAAACCGCUGACUGUAGAUCACAUCGUGCCCAUAGCCAUGGGGCAUGAGCACGAGGAGGUGGAGGCGGAGCUCCAGAUGAGAUGGAUUGUGACUUGGGGGGAAAAAGCACUUUGACAUUGAUCCUCCCGUAGCCCCCUUUGGUACCAAGUGUAGAUCUCCUAUGAUGAUGAUAUUUCAAGAUUCAUUGGAAGUGAAAGGAAAAGAACAAACCAGAAGCCACCAGUCUGAUCGUGCAUGCAUAAGAUAGGCUUGUGUUCUCGUGGUUAACUGACCUAUUAUUUUAGUUAGUACUAACUGACCUCGUGUUAGGCACUGAUUACAAUAUGUUAAUCUUUAAAAUAAUAAUUUCCUUUAGGUAUCAUAUUUCUAUCAUGCUCAGUAGUGGUUUCUCAACAAUCCUGUUUAUUGUUAGUGAAUAGUUAAAGUUAUUCACUAUACUUUAAGUAAUUGACGGUAACAAAUCUUGUGUUGUAUGCAAGAGAAACCUGAAGUCCUGAGCAUCAACAUACGAUGAUUCCGCUCUUCCACUUAUAAUGGUGUGACCAUCCCACAUUUAAAUAAGGAUGGAUGAUGAUCCAUUUAUACUUCUCAAUCCAGUCUUCUGUAAUAUUUUUUCAUGUAACAAAUAUCUGUAGGGCACAGACAUACAAGUAUAAUGUGCCAUUUAUCUUCUUGCACUAGACCAUGUAUGCCUUAAAACUUCAAUUCAGUACACUGAUGUAUACACAAUGACAUAUUGGUCAGAUUGAUCCAGAUUGUAGAGACAAUAGGUCAAAGCAAUUUUGUUAUUAUUGAGCAUAUAUCUCUUCUUGGAAGUGUAUAUCUUAUGAAUGUUUCCAUAUUCAGCAUUUUUUUGAAUAUUU